CAGCAGCCACGGUAAUACGAGGGGGGCAAGCGUUGUUCGGAAUUAUUGGGCGUAAAGGGUGCGUAGGCGGUUUCGUAAGUCUGAUGUGAAAUCUAUGGGCUCAACCCAUAGUCUGCAUCGGAAACUGCGAGGCUUGAGAGUGGGAGAGGUGAGUGGAAUUUCCGGUGUAGCGGUGAAAUGCGUAAAUAUCGGAAGGAACACCUGUGGCGAAAGCGGCUCACUGGACCACUUCUGACGCUGAUGCACGAAAGCUAGGGGAGCAAACAGGAUUAGAUACCCCCGUAGUCCCUGUCUCUUAUAC
This 301-nucleotide ribosomal RNA is filed under the name uncultured bacterium. Its description in RNAcentral is "partial 16S ribosomal RNA". It matches the Rfam family "Bacterial small subunit ribosomal RNA", at positions 509 to 807 of the family's 1533-position model. The record is from RNAcentral.